GUUCAAAUGAUUCUCCUGUCUCAGCCUCCCAAGUAGCAGACACCACAGCAGCACUGGUCAGUGAUGGAUUGGAAGAAAACUCGCCCUUCACGACGGAAGGUUUGAGGAGCACAGCUUUACUCCUUCCUGCUGGGUUCAUCCUUCCUAAGCAUCCUUGUUUUGUGAAUUAUUCCCUUACUCAACGAUUUUAAUGUCUUCUCGUUUUCCAUUGUAUCACGUUGUAUUAGUCCGUUCUCAUGCUGCUAGGAAGAAAUACCUGAGACUGGGUAAUUUAUAAAGAAAAGAGGUUUAAUUGACUCAAAUUCCGCGGGGCUGGGGAGACCUCAGGAAACUUACAAUCAUGGCAGAAGGCACCUGUUCACAGGGCUGCAGGAGAGAGGAUGAGUGCCAGCAGGGGAAAUGCCAGGUGCUUAUAAAACCAUCAGAUCUCACUCACUAUCAUGAAAACAGCUUAGGGGAAACCACCCCCAUGAUUCAAUUACCUCCCACAGGGUCCCUCUUGUGACACUUGGGGAUUACGGGGAUUACAAUUCAAGGUGUGAUUUUGGUGGGGACACAGCCAAACCAUAUCCCAUGUCUAAACUCGCUGUGGAGUUUCUAGUGAAUUUAACUUCAGCCCAGCUGUCCAGCCUUCUUCUUAAUUCAGCUCACCAGGCUCUCCAGGGCCUUUGCUUAGGUGGAGAGGUCCGCGCAUGCAUGCACACAGCGUCUCCCACUCCUUUCUUAGGUUCCUGAGCCAACCCCGCCCCAGAUGCCGAUCCCUCUCUGUGACCCAUCCAAAUGGAACCAUUGCUUCAACGUCCACUUCAGGUUUUUUCUCCUACGGAAGCUUCCUGCUCAUCCCAAACCUUACUGGUCUUCCGGUCAGCUCAGUUCCCACGGUGGUCACCAUGACAACAGGUCAGCACAGGCAGCUUGCAUGGGCCGAGGGCCUCAUGUGCCCCGCCCCUGUGGUCUCUGGGCAGCAUCUCCGGUACUUCUCACGCCAGCCUACGAGGUAGCUGCUAUUUUCACCUCCAUUUUAUGGAUGAGGAAACUGAGACACAAGAUGUUAAGUCUCAUGCCAUUGGUCAAAGAGGCUGUAAGGGGUGUGGAGGGGAUCACAGCAGUCUUGACUGUUUUUUUGAUUUCUCUGCGAGGUAGCUAAUAGGAACUCUAGUUUACAGAGGAGGACAUUUAAAGUUCGAUGCCCUGGGCCACAGGCUGGGGAAGCAUUGAUUUGAACCCAGGUCACUUGUGUUAGUGUCCUUAGGCUGUGGUAACAAAUCACUACAAUCCAGGUGGCUUCAUACAGCAGAUUUAUCAUCUCACGGUGCUGGAGGCCAGAAGUCUGAAAUCAAGGUGUUGGCAGGGUUGGUUCCAUCUGGUGGCUCAGCGAGAGAAUCUGUUCCACGCUUCUCCCUCUUGGAACAGCUUCUGGUGGCUGCCAGCAAGCCUCAGCAUUCCUGGCCUUGUAGCUGAUUCACACCCAUCUCUGUGUCUGUGUUCACAGAGGUCUCCCUCUGUGACGAUCUGUGCCUAAACUCCCUCUCCUUUUCGUUUAUAAGGAAUGCAUUUAGGGCCCACUCUAAACAGAGUGAUCUCAUCCUCGAGAUCCUUAAUUACAUCUGCAAAGACCCUAUUUCCAAGUAAUGUCACACUCACAAGCCAUGGAAGUUAGGACUUGAACGUAUCUUUCUGGAGGGUGUUACUCAAUUUACAUCAGUCUCGCUAUCAAGUCCACAUCCUUUCCACACUGUGCUGUUGUGCAAUCACUUUGUGCCAUUAAGUUUCCUAUUUGAUCACAUACUCUCUAUGCGUAGACUCAGUGUUUGACAGGCUCAGGAUUUAUUUAAGCUGUUGUAGUUAAGAACCAUGCUUUAUCCAUCAUCGGCAGUCCCUCAGUGCGAUAAGGCAUCCUCGGAUGGGAGAACCUUCCAGAAUUCUCCAUCACAGCAAGUAGACAGUUAGGUAACAUCAUCUAUGGAUAAAGCCAUUCUUAUGUGUAGGCAAAAGAAAAUGUAUUCCUCCACACAAAAAAGGAUGCCUAUUGGGAGUACCGGGAAGGAACUAAUAAUUAUUUAGCUUCCACUACAUGCUAGGCCCUGUCAUGCAUUUUGCUUUAUUCUUAUUUAAUUAACAUUUUGUCCAUUAAAGUUCAGAGCAGCAAGAAAAGAAAUGAAGUACCCCAAAUAGCUAAAUUGUAGUUGGUUUGGGCAUAGCAGGUUAGGCUAGCAAGAUGGAAGAAAACAACUUUUGUGAUUCAUUAUGAAAAACAAUUAUUGAAAAAUAAUUGAAUCUUAAGGUAUUGUGGGUCUUACUAAUUGAAUAUGCUUUCAUUGAAAAGACAAAAACCCAGUGCUGUGAGAGAACCUUUGUUUUUGUAUUGCCAUUCACCGGA
This 2380-nucleotide long non-coding RNA is filed under the name Homo sapiens (human). RNAcentral's name for it is "HSALNT0252743". Lineage: Eukaryota; Metazoa; Chordata; Mammalia; Primates; Hominidae. The record is from RNAcentral.